GGGGCUAUAGCUCAGUUGGUAGAGCGCUUCCUUAGCGUGUCCUAGGACUUCGAUUGGAUGAGGUCUGGCGUUCGAAUCGCCAUUGCUCCA
Orbilia brochopaga is the source of this 90-nucleotide non-coding RNA. Lineage: Eukaryota; Fungi; Ascomycota; Orbiliomycetes; Orbiliales; Orbiliaceae. The record is from the annotation of a GenBank genome assembly.